Molecule: ribosomal RNA, 414 nt
Filed under: Mecistops cataphractus (African slender-snouted crocodile)
Lineage: Eukaryota; Metazoa; Chordata; Crocodylia; Crocodylidae
Description: partial 16S ribosomal RNA
Rfam family: Bacterial large subunit ribosomal RNA
Source: RNAcentral
AAGGUAGCGUAAUCAUUUGUUCUUUAAAUAAGGACCAGUAUGAACGGCUAAACGAGAAUCCAUCUGUCUCUUGCAGAAGGCCAGUGAAAUUGAUCUCCCUGUGCAAAAGCAGGGAUAUUAACAUUAGACGAGAAGACCCUGUGAAACUUUAAACUACUAAAUUACAACAAGUUGUAAAACACACACUAAACUAGCCCAACUACUAUUAAUAUGUUGAUUUAGCGUUUUCGGUUGGGGCGACCCCAAAAUAAAAAAAACUUUCCAGGAAAAUUGUAGCAUGAUUACUACUGACUAAGGCCCACACCACAAAGUGCUUAAAUGUAAUCAGAUCCGGCACACGCCGAUUUAUGAACCAAGCUACUCCAGGGAUAACAGCGCAAUCCCCCUCAAGAGCCCUUAUCGACAGGGGGGUUK